This 1920-nucleotide long non-coding RNA is filed under the name Nicotiana tabacum (common tobacco). RNAcentral describes it as "long non-coding RNA (NTAB_LNC008905)". The record is from RNAcentral. Lineage: Eukaryota; Viridiplantae; Streptophyta; Magnoliopsida; Solanales; Solanaceae.
AGGAUGAGAAACAAGUUCAAUGUUUUAAUAAAUGAGAUAGAGACAUAAGGGUCUUUUUAAGACAAUAAGUAUAAUAUUUGAACCACUUGAAUUAUUGGGGAUUCUUGGCUGAAUAAAGGGCAACAAACAGAGUCUUCUUCUGUGUUUGAAAACGCUAGUGACAUUAAAGGGGGCUGGUGAACUUGAAUCCCACAAGUUUUUUUUUUAUCAGCAAACAAACAAUAACAACAGUAGCAAGAAUAUGGUUCCAAUUUUAUUUCAAGGAUUCCUCCCAAGAACUUUAAUAGGAGGAUUUCUAGGAUUUCUUCAAGAGGUAAUUUCUUGUCUUUUCUUUCAACUAUGAUGAACAUAGAGGUUAAUGAAGGUAUUUAGGUGUUGAAAAUAUCUUUUAAAUUGUGGAUUAAGUGAAUUUUCGAAAUGGUUAUUCUUGAAAUUUAAGAAAUAGGUGCAAAAGGUCAUGACUAGUACUUUGGGGUUGUGAAAUAGUUGAAUAUUGUCCUUCAUGAUUUUUAAUAAUUUAAUUAUUAUUGGGUAUUGAAUUAUUAAGGUCAUUAGAUGGAAGAAAGGUGGGUUUGAAUUGAGGAUGGUCCAGUAGUUAUGUCCUGAACUCUAUAUGAGUUGGAUUCCGUUGAAUUCAAUUGGAUUUAAAACAAAAUGGUUAUUAUCACGUAGAUUGAAUCAAGAUGAGCGCGUAGAAGGUUCUUGCAUGUUAUGGAAGACUAGAAUAAGGUAAGUUAAGAUUACCUUCUCUUAAGGAUUAUUUUGCAAAUUUCAUAAAUUCCAAAGAGUUACUAAAAUUCUUUCAAUGUUGGAUUGACUUCGUUAGAGCGAGCAAAAUCUACCAACCAUGGUUUAACAUUUUAUAGUGUAUAGUGUUAUUAUGUAGUACUGUUUACGUAUAAGUUGUGGCGCUGGAUAUUUUCAAGCUUUCAUUCUUUGGUAACACUUUAUAUUGCAUUUUACCAACUUGAUUUGAGUUGAUAAUAUUGUAAAAUGUAAAAGUUUAUUUGUGAAUGCACUUCCAAGUUAUUAAAUUAUCUUCAAAGGAAAUAUUGCUCACUGAAGAUAUUAAAAAAAAAUGUACAAGACCUAUGGGUCAAAAUGCUUUAAAGUUAUAGUUUGAGGAGAAUUAUAUAUAUUGAAUAUGGAUCACACUUGCCAUGUGUGUAUCACUUGAUGUCCAUAGAGACAGUUCACCAUGCUAGCACUAUCGUCAAAAUCCCACGACUUUGGGUGAGACGGGCUCGUGACCAGGCGAUGGUCACUACAGUUAUCGAAUAUUGUUGCUUAUGGCAACUAUGGAACUCCCCACAAAAAGGUUUAAAGUUUAUUGAAGGUCCAUAAUCAUAGAAAGAGUUACAGUUUUAUAAAAAUGAUUUAAAUCCUUGAAAUGCUUAAAUGUUCAUCAUUUAUCACCACUAUUUUUGCAAAGUGUUUGACUUAUUACAUAUCAUGUGUAUUUUUUUUAUGUAUCCCGAAAGUAUCGCUUCAAUCUUAAGGAGUCAAUGAUACUUACGGGGUACAAUUUCUAUAGAAAUUGUACUCAGCCUCCUUUGUGAGGCAUCUUACCUUAUUGUUUCAGAUCCUACUCACUUUGGAGCUGACAGUGUGUGCUAGGUGUCUUCUCCAUCUUCCAGUUGCUUUUGGUGAGCCCACUACUACUUCUGUGGGUUCAUUGUUAUUAUAGUACUUCUUUUGGAUGAGCCGGGGAUUUAUGUCUCGUACCAUCAUUCUCGUGUACUUCCUUAGAGGUUCCAGGCACAGUUGUGGGAGGUCUAUGGGUUUAUGAGAACUAUCAUUUUAUCUUCAUGUUAUGCUGUUAUUUUUAUUUCUGCUACUUAUGUAUUUUGGCCAUUGGCUCAACUUAUGUUUCGAGACUAGAAGGAUGUUUUAUCAUCGAUACUUAUUAUUUUCGGAAAA